Molecule: transfer RNA, 74 nt
Filed under: Monodelphis domestica (gray short-tailed opossum)
Lineage: Eukaryota; Metazoa; Chordata; Mammalia; Didelphimorphia; Didelphidae
Rfam family: tRNA
About the family: Transfer RNA (tRNA) molecules are approximately 80 nucleotides in length. Their secondary structure includes four short double-helical elements and three loops (D, anti-codon, and T loops).
Source: Rfam by way of RNAcentral
AUUAUGGUGGCAGAGCAGGUAAUUGCAUAAAACUUAAGCCUUUAUAACUAGAGGUUCAAACCUUCUCCUUAAUA